Molecule: ribosomal RNA, 472 nt
Filed under: uncultured bacterium
Lineage: Bacteria
Description: bacterial SSU rRNA
Rfam family: Bacterial small subunit ribosomal RNA
Source: RNAcentral
UGGGGAAUUUUGGACAAUGGGGGCAACCCUGAUCCAGCCAUGCCGCGUGAGUGAAGAAGGCCUUCGGGUUGUAAAGCUCUUUCGGCGGGGACGAAACGGUCCGUGACAACACCACGGACUAAUGACGGUACUCGCAGAAGAAGCACCGGCUAACUACGUGCCAGCAGCCGCGGUAAUACGUAGGGUGCAGGCGUUAAUCGGAAUUACUGGGCGUAAAGCGUGCGCAGGCGGCUCCUUAAGUCAGAUGUGAAAUCCCCGGGCUUAACCUGGGAACUGCGUUUGAAACUGGGGAGCUAGAGUGUGGAAGAGGGGGGUGGAAUUCCAGGUGUAGCAGUGAAAUGCGUAGAGAUCUGGAGGAACACCGAUGGCGAAGGCAGCCCCCUGGGCUAACACUGACGCUCAUGCACGAAAGCGUGGGGAGCAAACAGGAUUAGAUACCCCAGUAGUCCCUGAGCGGGCUGGCAAGGCGCAU